Molecule: ribosomal RNA, 423 nt
Filed under: uncultured bacterium
Lineage: Bacteria
Description: bacterial SSU rRNA
Rfam family: Bacterial small subunit ribosomal RNA
Source: RNAcentral
GGGGAAUAUUGGACAAUGGGCGCAAGCCUGAUCCAGCAAUGCCGCGUGGGUGAAGAAGGCCUUCGGGUUGUAAAGCCCUUUUGUACGGGAAGAAAACCCACUCGUUAAUACCGGGUGGGAAUGACGGUACCGUAAGAAUAAGCACCGGCUAACUUCGUGCCAGCAGCCGCGGUAAUACGGGGGGUGCGAGCGUUGUCCGGAAUCACUGGGCGUAAAGGGCGCGUAGGUGGUCUGAUAAGGGUGUGGUGAAAGCCCGGGGCUCAACCCCGGGUCGGCCGUGCCGACUGUUGGACUAGAGUGCUGUAGGGGCAGGCGGAAUUCCGGGUGUAGCGGUGGAAUGCGUAGAGAUCCGGAGGAAGACCGGUGGCGAAGGCGGCCUGCUGGGCAGAUACUGACACUGAGGCGCGACAGCGUGGGGAGCAA